UUGCAAACUGUAGUCUGGCUUUUUUUAAUGGCAGUUUUGGAGCAGUGGCUUCUUCCUUGCUAAGCGGCCUUUCAGGUUAUGUUGAUAUAGGACUCGUUUUACUGUGGAUGUAGAUACUUUUGUAUUGUGCUGCUAGAGGUGAAAUUCUUGGACCGGCGCAAGACGGACGAAAGCGAAAGCAUUUGCCAAGAAUGUUUUCAUU
This 202-nucleotide non-coding RNA is filed under the name Salmo salar (Atlantic salmon). Its description in RNAcentral is "Eukaryotic small subunit ribosomal RNA". The stretch from base 70 to 202 matches the Rfam family "Eukaryotic small subunit ribosomal RNA", at positions 841 to 974 of the family's 1831-position model. Lineage: Eukaryota; Metazoa; Chordata; Actinopteri; Salmoniformes; Salmonidae. The record is from Rfam by way of RNAcentral.